GGAGGGGAGGGGAAGGCAGUCAAGCAGCAGCGGNNNNNNNNNNNNNNGGGGCGGCGGCGGCGGCGGCGGCGGGGGAGGUUUGGGGGUCGAGCCGGUAACCUAGAGGGGGAGGUACGGGCCUCGGUUCAUCUGUCUGGGGCGUGGCCGCGUGCUUGGAGCUCCGUCCGUCGCGCCGGCCGGCCGGUGGACUACCGCAGGCACCGCCUCGAGUUCCUCUUCGUGCGCCGCCGCUGCCGGAGCCAGUUGAGGGACGCCCUCGCCGAGGCGGUCGCGGCCGUCUGCGAGGAGCUGUGGCUGCACCUCUUCAUGAGGUUCCGCGUCCCCGCCUGCCGCCACUCGAAGUUGGGGUGCCUAGACCAGACGACGGCGUGCGACGUCCCGGUGUCGCCUUUCCAUAUAAGAGACCUAACCUGGGGACUCUUCUUGACCUAUCAAUCACGGAGUGUUCUACCUUCUGAUUAACAUACCUUACGAAAUUGCUCAGUCUUUUGUGUACGGUAUUUCGAUGUGACAGGUACCCACUACUGUACACGAAAACGUGGGUUACCAGUUAGGCAACGAACACCGCCAGAACUAUCACGUACGAGAUAUAAGUUGGAAUCGAGUGUUCGUCUGUCUCUACCCUUGUACGGUCAUAGUUCUCAUGAAUGACCUGUGUUUCCGAUACAAAGUAGGACAGUCAUACAGGGUCUGGUCCUUUGGGCGAACUAAUGUCCGAGUCCACUGGUUUGCACACAGGACACCCUACAAUGAUGACCGGUCUCCUAUAGUUAGAAACCUCCACUUAAAGGUAGUCCCGUAUGUCGACUACACAAUUCAGACAGGUAGUUGAGCAAUUUGUGCUUAUACAAAUAGAGCCCAAGUACACUAUGUUGACAUUCCGAUACCCUAGAGUCCUAACGUUCAGCCCGUCAAGCCUGUAUAGUACCUGUACUCCCGCUGUAAUUGUCACAGUUCAAGAAGGGACUACCAGUCUCCAAGCCAUGACCAAGUCUACUACCAUGUACGUCUAAUAAACUGUACUCUUGUCCCGUAGUUGAAGUUCACAUGUUAGCCCUCGGGCUAUCUUUACUAUUGCUCGAGGGAUAACAAUGUAGACAGCGGAAAAGGUAUAGUCCUUCCGAAGAAAAACGACCUAUGAGAUUACCACUGACAAUACACACCCUGUGCGAAGAACGGCUCUACCACGAAUUAAACCCCUGAGAGGUUUUGAGAGUGCUUCCGGCAUAUUCGACGGAACCCGACAGUAGGCUACCCUCACGUAACACAUGUCCUUCGACCCUGUUUUUAAACUUCUAGACCCGAAAGUCACCUGUGGCCUUCUAUCAGACUCCGGGGCCGCGCGCAAGAGGGGCACAACACGCAAGGAGCAGCAGCGCACAGCCCCCCACCAACCGGUUGAGUUGUCCAAGGACUUCUACUUCGUCAGGCAAAACAUAGUACCUUAGGUACCUAGAGGACAACGCACGCAGGUUGCCUUUUGAGCCAAACGGCUCUGCCUCACCACGACCCACUACUACAACAACGUAACACGGACCAGUUCAGUCGCACGACAAACAACAAAUAUUCUCAACGGUCUUUCGUUCGUCGCGUGUACACUAUAAAAAGACGGGAACAACACAUGUUGAUAUAUAAAAAUCGGCAUCUUUUACUUCGGCUUAACAAUCUUGGUUCUUAGUUAAACAAACAAAGACCUCAUUCUAUUCCUUACGCUUGAAGUGAAGGACACACGACACUACGAACAUUCCAAGUCACUCGGUAAGUGACGAACAAAAUGGAUACUAC
Molecule: ribosomal RNA, 1785 nt
Filed under: Triticum aestivum (bread wheat)
Lineage: Eukaryota; Viridiplantae; Streptophyta; Magnoliopsida; Poales; Poaceae
Description: partial small subunit ribosomal RNA
Source: RNAcentral